RNAcentral lists this long non-coding RNA (4048 nucleotides) under Sphaeramia orbicularis (orbiculate cardinalfish). RNAcentral describes it as "lncRNA (ENSSORG00005020241.1)". The record is from RNAcentral. Lineage: Eukaryota; Metazoa; Chordata; Actinopteri; Kurtiformes; Apogonidae.
CUCGUCUCCAUGGUUACAGCAGAGGGCGAGCAGGUGGAACAGGUCAGUCCUGAUUCUUCAGCAGCCGACAGACUGAAGGUGUGGCCGAAGAAACCAGAACACCUGCACUCUCACCUCCACCUGCCGCCCAACACAAGGCAGACUUACACACAGACCAGCUGACAUGGAUAAAAUUGCAGGAUACAUUGGUGAAAAAAUAGGUGAUGCUGUGGAGGAUGCAGUGAAGAGCGCUCUGGGCGUUGGUGACAAAGACAAAGACAAAGAUGACAAGAAAGGAGGAGGAGGAGGGAUCCUGUCAUUAUUUGGAGGAAACAAGAGGGAUGAUGACGACGACGACAAGGAAGGACCCUUCUCAUUUGGAAAUGACAAGAAAAAAGACAAAGACAGCGGAGGAUUCUUUUCCAGCCUGUUGAAGAAAGAUGACGACGACGAUGAUGAUGAAGGGAAACCAAAGAAGUCCGGCUUCGCAGGUCUCUUCUCUGAACAGGAAGGAGGGAGCGCUGUUGGAGGGGGUGGGCCCCAGAGAGACGAUAGUGGAGCAGGGGGUGGGAAAGCAGUUGGAGUUAACGACGGAGAUCUGCUUGAUGAUCUGAUGGCAGUAGCUGAUGAAACCUCCUCUGACAAGUGAUACAACACAAACAAGGACCUUCACCUCUGACAGAAACUGACUCUGCUACAACUCCCCUCAGCUCCACCUUUCAUCUGAUGUCUGUUUUCCAACAAACCAGACCAGCCUGUCUUUUCUUUUUUCCAUGUUCAUAGAUUCAGUGUUUGAUCUUAUAAAUGCCUGUUGCCAAAGCUCCACAAAUACAGUUGUGCUCAUGAGUUUACAUACCCUGACUGAAUGUGCAUGGGACGGUCUGGAAUGUUCCAACAUGACAAUGACCCAAAACACAAGGCCAAGUCCACCUGUCAUUGGCCACAGCAGAAAAAAAGGGAAGGUGAAGGAGUGGCCAUCUCAGUCUCCUGACCUCCAUAUCAUUGAGCCAUUUUGAGAAGGUGCCAAACAUGCAGUUCAUGCAAGAAAACCCAAAAUCUGAAAAGAACUGAAGGAGUUUUGCCAAGAAGAAUGGGCAGCUUUAGCAUCUGAGAAAAUAAAGAGCCUCGUCCACAACGACAACAAAAGACCUCAAGCUGUCAUAAAUGUUAAAGGGGCCGAUACAGAGUAGGAAGAACUUUUGGGCAAGGUCAUUUAGAUAGUUUCUUUUGUUAGUAUGUUUUAAAAAGAGCAAACACAUUUGUUCGAUGAUGAACAGCUUCAUCCAACCACUAGCCACGUGUCAAAGAAAAGUUUUUUUUAUUAUGAUUCAUAUUCUCUGAAAAAUGGCCAAAGAAUCACAAAUUCUGCUAGGGUAAGGGGUAGGGUAGGGUAAACUUAGGAGCACAACUGUAGAUGUAAAAUGAAAAACUGAGAAAACACAUUAAAAUACUGUUCAAUAAAAAAAAUAAAUAAACCAGAAUAUUAUUUGCAGAUGAUGGCAUGUAUUAUUGAAACGACACACACAUUUUGCUUUUAAAAUAUCAGUCUUAGUGAGAAAUAGGACUUUGAUGAUAGUAGGAUAAUGAUAUUUUGGCAGCAAAUUUAGUCUUAAUACUUGUGUAAAUAUCUUCUAUGAUCACAUUUUUAUCCCAAAUACUGGGGUUCUUUCUAUAUUUUCAAUCUACAAAAAAAACAAAAAAACAAAACAAAAAAAAAACCCUGGGGAGGAAAUGCAGAAAUUUUGAAAAAGGGUCUCUGCAAUGAAGUGCAAAGACAGCAGAUUUUGUGAAUCAAUGCGGAGCUACAAACCCUGAAUAUGAAGACUAAGGUUGGCCAAGUUGCAUGACAGAGAUUGGAUUGUUUUUUGAAGACCAUUUCUGUUGAUGCUGUUCCCAAAGGAUUAAAUUUGACAAAUCAACCCUAAUUUGACCUUGAAAACGAAGGUGAAGUUUGAUUGCCAAAGAUCUCAUCCUUCCUAAGUUGCACCUAAAUACCAAACAUGAAGGAGAUCAGACCAGACAAUACCCCUGCGGCUGAGAAAUGAUUAACAAACAAGUGCAUUUUAUUUCAAAACUACAAAUUGUAACUAUCAAACAAUACACAUUUUCAGUACAUCCUGUUUCAGAAACCACUAUAUGAUAUCUUACAAUAGUCUUGUCCUAUAGUUUUAAUGUGAAUUUCAUACAUGGACCAUAUAUCUUGGCUAAAAUAUGGAAGGAAUUCAUUUACUUUGAGCAGCUUCAGAAUCAGUUCUUCAACAGAGGAAGCAAUGACAUGCACUUUAAAGUUGCACCAUCAGGUUUACAGCGGUCAGGUGGUGGUCCAUCAUGAAGACCCGCUACAUGUCAUUCUUCAUCCUUCUGCUCUUGUUUCCUUUCAUCCUGUUGCACAUAAAUAACUGUAAAAGUCUGGCUGCUGCUCAUUUAAGAAUGUCGUUUUACCUCCAUGGUUCUUCUUCCUAUGACAGUAGCAAGUAGAGAUGCUUUAAUGUCUUUUUUUUGCAGCAUAAAUCUGUUGAGUUUUGUGCUUGAAAGUUCUGUAUCCGAAACAAUAAAUGAAAACUGAAUAAGACUAACUCCUGGGCUGUUUUCAAUCCGUCACUGAGGGAACUGAAGGUCCAGCAACGUAAAGUCCUGAGUGAUGGGGAUGCUGUUCUCAUCGCACAGGAAGUAGCUCUGGAUAGUGAUGGUGAAGGUCUUCUUUGGGAUGGAGAGGAGGACCUGGAUCCGUUCUGCUGCCAGCUGGAUGUACUUAACUUCUGAUCCUGAAUCCAAGAGACAGACAGUGAAAAUACUGUUGGAAAAACUCUUUGAUUUUACAGUAAAGUUGCCUGAUGCUUAUCAAACGACAGACUGAUGAGGAGAUUCAACAGUUAGGAGCUGUUAAUACAUUGUCCAAAAAAGCUUCAGAUAAAUCCACCUAUGCAAGGUUUUACUUUAGACUGCCUUUAAGUUGUGGGCGUUCAUGCUUUUCACCAAUCUGGGGGAAUCAUAACUUUAAACCAGGAAGAGCUGACAUGGGAUUCAGAUGCUGGAAAGAAAAGGGAUUAUGUAAAAUAAAAGGUCUAUAUAGGAAGGGCUCUCUAAUGUCUUUUUUUUUUUUUUUAAAUUCAGGUUUUUAUUGAACUUUUCAAAGGUUUGGUACAUGGCAAACUCAAUAUGUUUCUCCAUACAAGAACAGGUAGUAUAUAAUUAACAAUGAACUCUGGUGACAGACUUGACAUACUCUUUAAUCUCAUAAACAUAAAAAAUCAAAAAUAAAAGACAGGCAGCAGAUACAAAAGCAGGUGGAUACAUAAUAAUAUCAACUAAUAAAUAUCUGUAUAGACACACACACACACCUGUACAUACACUCAUACAUUCAUACAUGCAGACCGAUCUACCUUCAUGUAAUCCCAAAACCUGUCCCAAAGGGUCACCCCCUCCCCUCUGUCAUCACUUCAUCUACUAAACAUAGAUUCCUAGGAUACAGUUUCAGUCAUUGCACAGACCCUCUAAAGUCUUUGAACAAUUAGUGGAUAAAUAUAAUUUGCCUAGGAAACAUUUAAAAAUAUAUAUAUUUACAAAUAAGGAAUCACAUAAUUAUACAAAUUAAAUGUACAUCAGAACCUCCUCUGUCCACUAUUGAAAGUAUUACAAAGAACCAUUACCAUAACAAAGGUCUUCUGUCAAAAAUGUUAUGAUGCGCUGUUGGCAGGUACUAAGGACAAUCCUCUUUCUCAGUUAUCAGCUCGGAAAAAUGAUCAUCAAACAGAAAUCUCUGUAGAGGAUUGGGAGAGGGCCUGUCUUAUAGCUCAAACACAAACAAUUAACACCAGCUUUAGACUAUUACAGUACAAACAGUUAUUUAGAACAUAUGUCACCCCUGUAAAACUACACCGUUUUAAUCCUAACAUUCCUGACAUUUGUACUAUGUGUAAAAAGGAAAAUAGGCACUUUUUUUCAUUGUAUGUGGACCUGCGAGAAACUUCAGAAUUUUUGGAAAGACUGCAUAUAAGAAGUGGAUGGAGGUACCAGGACCCCACUGGUCUGCAAAUAUUGUUUUGAAACUGUUUUGGUAUUAUUAUCG